This 550-nucleotide ribosomal RNA is filed under the name uncultured bacterium. RNAcentral's name for it is "bacterial SSU rRNA". It matches the Rfam family "Bacterial small subunit ribosomal RNA", at positions 8 to 548 of the family's 1533-position model. The record is from RNAcentral.
AGAGUUUGAUCCUGGCUCAGGAUGAACGCUGGCGGCGUGCCUAACACAUGCAAGUCGAACGGAGCCUAAUCAGCAGAAGCGGACAGCUUGCUGGAAGCGGAAGCAGAAAAGGCUUAGUGGCGGACGGGUGAGUAACGCGUGGGUAACCUGGCCCAUACAGGGGGAUAACACUUAGAAAUAGGUGCUAAUACCGCAUAACAACAGAAAGCGCAUGCUUUGUGUUUGAAAACUGAGGUGGUAUGGGAUGGACCCGCGUCUGAUUAGCUGGUUGGCGGGGUAAUGGCCCACCAAGGCGACGAUCAGUAGCCGGCCUGAGAGGGUGGACGGCCACAUUGGGACUGAGACACGGCCCAAACUCCUACGGGAGGCAGCAGUGGGGAAUAUUGCACAAUGGGGGAAACCCUGAUGCAGCGACGCCGCGUGAGUGAAGAAGUAAUUCGUUAUGUAAAGCUCUAUCAGCAGGGAAGAAAAUGACGGUACCUGAUUAAGAAGCCCCGGCUAACUACGUGCCAGCAGCCGCGGUAAUACGUAGGGGGCAAGCGUUAUCCGG